RNAcentral lists this ribosomal RNA (484 nucleotides) under uncultured bacterium. RNAcentral's name for it is "bacterial SSU rRNA". It matches the Rfam family "Bacterial small subunit ribosomal RNA", at positions 10 to 507 of the family's 1533-position model. The record is from RNAcentral.
AGUUUGAUCAUGGCUCAGGACGAACGCUGGCGGCGUGCCUAACACAUGCAAGUCGAACGGAGAUAUGAUUUCGGUUAUAUCUUAGUGGCGAACGGGUGAGUAACGCGUGAGCAACCUGACCUUCAGAGGGGGGAUAACACUUGGAAACAGGUGCUAAUACCGCAUAAGACCACGACCCGACAUCGGGAUGCGGUCAAAGGAGCAAUCCGCUGAGGGAGGGGCUCGCGUCCCAUUAGAUAGAUGGCGGGGUAACGGCCCACCAUGUCGACGAUGGGUAGCCGAGCUGAGAGGCUGAUCGGCCACACUGGAACUGAGACACGGUCCAGACUCCUACGGGAGGCAGCAGUGGGGAAUAUUGGGCAAUGGGCGCAAGCCUGACCCAGCAACGCCGCGUGAGGGAAGAAGGCCUUCGGGUUGUAAACCUCUGUCCUUGGUGACGAAACAAAUGACGGUAGCCAAGGAGGAAGCCCCGGCUAACUACGUG